ACGCUGGCGGCGUGCCUAAUACAUGCAAGUAGAACGCUGAAGGAGGAGCUUGCUUCUCUGGAUGAGUUGCGAACGGGUGAGUAACGCGUAGGUAACCUGCCUGGUAGCGGGGGAUAACUAUUGGAAACGAUAGCUAAUACCGCAUAACAGUAGAUGUUGCAUGACAUUUGCUUAAAAGGUGCAAUUGCAUCACUACCAGAUGGACCUGCGUUGUAUUAGCUAGUUGGUGGGGUAACGGCUCACCAAGGCGACGAUACAUAGCCGACCUGAGAGGGUGAUCGGCCACACUGGGACUGAGACACGGCCCAGACUCCUACGGGAGGCAGCAGUAGGGAAUCUUCGGCAAUGGACGGAAGUCUGACCGAGCAACGCCGCGUGAGUGAAGAAGGUUUUCGGAUCGUAAAGCUCUGUUGUAAGAGAAGAACAGAUGUGAGAGUGGAGAGUUCACACUGUGACGGUAUCUUACCAGAAAGGGACGGCUAACUACGUGCCAGCAGCCGCGGUAAUACGUAGGUCCCGAGCGUUGUCCGGAUUUAUUGGGCGUAAAGCGAGCGCAGGCGGUUAGAUAAGUCUGAAGUUAAAGGCUGUGGCUUAACCAUAGUACGCUUUGGAAACUGUUUAACUUGAGUGCAAGAGGGGAGAGUGGAAUUCCAUGUGUAGCGGUGAAAUGCGUAGAUAUAUGGAGGAACACCGGUGGCGAAAGCGGCUCUCUGGCUUGUAACUGACGCUGAGGCUCGAAAGCGUGGGGAGCAAACAGGAUUAGAUACCCCUGGUAGUCCACGCCGUAAACGAUGAGUGCUAGGUGUUAGACCCUUUCCGGGGUUUAGUGCCGCAGCUAACGCAUUAAGCACUCCGCCUGGGGAGUACGACCGCAAGGUUGAAACUCAAAGGAAUUGAC
This 898-nucleotide ribosomal RNA is filed under the name uncultured bacterium. RNAcentral describes it as "bacterial SSU rRNA". It matches the Rfam family "Bacterial small subunit ribosomal RNA", at positions 33 to 914 of the family's 1533-position model. The record is from RNAcentral.